RNAcentral lists this ribosomal RNA (715 nucleotides) under uncultured bacterium. RNAcentral describes it as "bacterial SSU rRNA". It matches the Rfam family "Bacterial small subunit ribosomal RNA", at positions 777 to 1500 of the family's 1533-position model. The record is from RNAcentral.
AUUAGAUACCCUGGUAGUCCACGCAGUAAACGAUGGAUGCUAGCUGUCCGGGGCGAAUGAGUUCUGGGUGGCACAGCGAAAGCGUUAAGCAUCCCACCUGGGGAGUACGCCGGCAACGGUGAAACUCAAAGGAAUUGACGGGGGCCCGCACAAGCGGAGGAACAUGUGGUUUAAUUCGAUGAUACGCGAGGAACCUUACCCGGGCUCAAACGGCACAGUGAUACUUUUGAAAGGAGGUAGCUCUACGGAGACUGUGCCGAGGUGCUGCAUGGUUGUCGUCAGCUCGUGCCGUGAGGCGUCGGCUUAAGUGCCAUAACGAGCGCAACCCCUAUUGUCAGUUGCCAGCAGGUAAAGCUGGGGACUCUGACGAGACUGCCGGCGCAAGCUGAGAGGAAGGCGGGGAUGACGUCAAAUCAGCACGGCCCUUACGUCCGGGGCGACACACGUGUUACAAUGGCAGGCACAGCGGGAAGCCACCCGGCGACGGGGAGCGGAACCCGAAAGCCUGUCUCAGUUCGGAUCGGAGUCUGCAACUCGACUCCGUGAAGCUGGAUUCGCUAGUAAUCGCGCAUCAGCCAUGGCGCGGUGAAUACGUUCCCAGGCCUUGUACACACCGCCCGUCAAGCCAUGGAAGCCGGGAGCGCCUGAAGCGCGUGACCGCAAGGAGCGUUCUAAGGCAAAACCGGUGACUGGGGCUAAGUCGUAACAAGGUAGC